RNAcentral lists this ribosomal RNA (492 nucleotides) under uncultured bacterium. RNAcentral describes it as "partial 16S ribosomal RNA". It matches the Rfam family "Bacterial small subunit ribosomal RNA", at positions 29 to 507 of the family's 1533-position model. The record is from RNAcentral.
AGUGAACGCUGGCGGUAGGCCUAACACAUGCAAGUCGAACGGCAGCACAGUAAGAGCUUGCUCUUACGGGUGGCGAGUGGCGGACGGGUGAGGAAUACAUCGGAAUCUACUUUUUCGUGGGGGAUAACGUAGGGAAACUUACGCUAAUACCGCAUACGACCUACGGGUGAAAGCAGGGGAUCUUCGGACCUUGCGCGAUUGAAUGAGCCGAUGUCGGAUUAGCUAGUUGGCGGGGUAAAGGCCCACCAAGGCGACGAUCCGUAGCUGGUCUGAGAGGAUGAUCAGCCACACUGGAACUGAGACACGGUCCAGACUCCUACGGGAGGCAGCAGUGGGGAAUAUUGGACAAUGGGCGCAAGCCUGAUCCAGCCAUGCUGCGUGGGUGAAGAAGGCCUUCGGGUUGUAAAGCCCUUUUGUUGGGAAAGAAAAGCAGCAGGUUAAUACCCCGCUGUUCUGACGGUACCCAAAGAAUAAGCACCGGCUAACUUCGUG